Molecule: ribosomal RNA, 680 nt
Filed under: Lentibacillus halophilus
Lineage: Bacteria; Bacillati; Bacillota; Bacilli; Caryophanales; Bacillaceae
Description: bacterial SSU rRNA
Rfam family: Bacterial small subunit ribosomal RNA
Source: RNAcentral
UGGUAGUCCACGCCGUAAAUGAUGAGUCCUUGGUGUUAGGGGGUUUCCGCCCCUUUGUGCUGCAGUUAACGCAUUAAGCACUCCGCGUGGGGAGUACGGCCGCAAGGCUGAAACUCAAAAGAAUUGACGGGGGCCCCCAACAAGCGGUGGAGCAUGUGGUUUAAUUCGAAGCAACGCGAAGAACCUUACCAGGUCUUGACAUCCUUCGACAGCGGCAGAGAUGCCGUGUUCCCUUCGGGGACAGAGUGACAGGUGGUGCAUGGUUGUCGUCAGCUCGUGUCGUGAGAUGUUGGGUUAAGUCCCGUAACGAGCGCAACCCUUAAUUUUAGUUGCCAGCAUUAAGUUGGGCACUCUAAGGUGACUGCCGGUGACAAACCGGAGGAAGGCGGGGAUGACGUCAAAUCAUCAUGCCCCUUAUGACCUGGGCUACACACGUGUUACAAUGGAUGGAACAAAGGGACGCGAAGCGGCGACGUGAUAGCCAAUCCCACAAAACCAUUCCCAGUUCGGAUUGCAGGCUGCAACUCGCCUGUAUGAAGCCGGAAUCGCUAGUAAUCGCGGAUCAGAAUGCCGCGGUGAAUACGUUCCCGGGCCUUGUACACACCGCCCGUCACACCACGAGAGUUGGCAACACCCGAAGUCGGUGAGGCAACCAUUUUGGAGCCAGCCGCCGAAGGUGG